This 980-nucleotide long non-coding RNA is filed under the name Homo sapiens (human). RNAcentral's name for it is "HAS2 antisense RNA 1". Lineage: Eukaryota; Metazoa; Chordata; Mammalia; Primates; Hominidae. The record is from RNAcentral.
AGAUUCCAAUGUCACUAACGGUUUUCUGAGGGAGUUGGAAAGAGAUAAGAGAGAGACCUUGGGGAACAAUUUUAAAGUGGCUCAAUAGCGAUCGCAGAGCCAAACUCAUACCUACAUCAAUGUGGUGCAGAGAAUCUCUAAGAAUUUUUAAUGCUGAAUUGGAGCAAAGAAACUUCAAGGAGGAAGCAAAGUGAAGAACACAGAUUUCACAGAUGGGAUGCCUGGCUCAAAUUCCAGCUUGACCGCUGGUAGCUGUGUGACCCUCGGCAAGUUACUUGACCUCUCUCUACUCAGUGUCCUCAUCUGUCAGUGUAAUAUGAAUCAGAAAACAUGAACUCAGACUGAUGCUGGAAGCCACCUUAUGACUAUAAGCAGAAUCAGCCUCGUUAUGACGUUGAUGCUAUAAGCAACGGACUGAAAGAUACAAAGAGCAAGCAGACAGGAUGAUUUUGGUAUCUGACUGAUGCUGUCUUCGUGGAAUGAGUUAGGAAAGAGUCCCUCCUCGUCAACUGUUGGGAAUACAUUCAGCAGGGUUGGUAUCAUUGCAUGUCUGGCAGAAUUUGACUAGGAAUCCAUCUGGUCCAGGAUUUUUUUUGUUGGUGUAAUGAGAUUCACUGAAGAAUUCUCAGAGUGGAAUGAGCAACAGAUUUUCAUUAGCGAAAGCUCCUCUAGCUGCUGCAUGAAAUGAUGUCUAGACAGAGAAAUGCGUAAAUGGCGACAGUAGAGCCAGCCUUCAUGAAUCCAGAAAUGUGAGCCACAUUUUGAGGAUAGCAGAGUCACUGCAGAAGCCUGGAUCCUUGCAUAACCUUGUCGAGUGGGAAAAUCUACCCAUACUUGACCAACCACCUAACUGGGGGCUCUACAUCUGAGAGAAAUGAUUUUUUAUCUUAUUUAAGCCACUGUAGUUAGGAGUCAGUUUAUUACAGGACAUUGCCUGGUGUUCCAACAAAUAAACUACCUUAUUUGUUUCAAUAAAUAAA